CAGUCGCCGCGGGAAUACGUAGGUGGCAAGCGUUGUCCGGAAUUAUUGGGCGUAAAGCGCGCGCAGGCGGAUAGGUCAGUCUGUCUUAAAAGUUCGGGGCUUAACCCCGUGAUGGGAUGGUAACUGCCAAUCUAGAGUAUCGGAGAGGAAAGUGGAAUUCCUAGUGUAGCGGUGAAAUGCGUAGAUAUUAGGAAGAACACCAGUGGCGAAGGCGGCUUUCUGGACUGUAACUGACGCUGAGGCUCGAAAGCCAGGGGAGCGAACGGGAUUAGAUACCCCUGUAGUCCCUGUCUCUUAUACA
Molecule: ribosomal RNA, 301 nt
Filed under: uncultured bacterium
Lineage: Bacteria
Description: partial 16S ribosomal RNA
Rfam family: Bacterial small subunit ribosomal RNA
Source: RNAcentral